GGCUAGGCGCCUGAUGGCCGAGUGGCUAUGGCUCUGGCACUCGGUAUGGAUGUUUGUAGUGGUUCGAAUCCACUUUAAGCCG
This is a non-coding RNA of Caerostris extrusa, 82 nucleotides long. NCBI's taxonomy places the organism in Eukaryota, Metazoa, Arthropoda, Arachnida, Araneae, Araneidae. The record is from the annotation of a GenBank genome assembly.